Molecule: ribosomal RNA, 440 nt
Filed under: uncultured Anaerolineaceae bacterium
Lineage: Bacteria; Bacillati; Chloroflexota; Anaerolineae; Anaerolineales; Anaerolineaceae
Description: bacterial SSU rRNA
Rfam family: Bacterial small subunit ribosomal RNA
Source: RNAcentral
CCUACGGGGGGCUGCAGUAGGGAAUAUUAGAAAUGGACGAAAGUCUGAUCUAGCAACACCGCGUGUGCGAAGAAGGCCUUCGGGUCGUAAAGCACUUUUUGGAAGGAAUAGGAAGGAAUGUACUUCCAGAAUAAGUCUCGGCUAACUACGUGCCAGCAGCCGCGGUAACACGUAGGAGGCAAACGUUAUCCGGAUUUACUGGGCGUAAAGCGCGUGUAGGUGGUACUGUAAGUAGGGCGUGAAAGCUCCUGGCUCAACUGGGAGAGGCCGUUCUAAACUACAGAACUAGAGGAUGGUAGAGGGAGGUGGAAUUCCAGGUGUAGCGGUGGAAUGCGCAGAUAUCUGGAGGAACACCGGUGGCGAAGGCGGCCUCCUGGACCAUUCCUGACACUCAGACGCGAAAGCUAGGGUAGCAAACGGGCUUAGAUACCCCUGUAGUC